GGUUGGAUGGCCGAGUGGUCUAAGGCGUCAGAUUUAGGCUCUGAUCUCUCCGGAGGCGAGGGUUCGAACCCCUCUUCAAUCA
Molecule: transfer RNA, 82 nt
Filed under: Rozella allomycis CSF55
Lineage: Eukaryota; Fungi; Rozellomycota
Description: tRNA-Leu (TAG) (tRNA-Leu-TAG-1-1)
Rfam family: tRNA
About the family: Transfer RNA (tRNA) molecules are approximately 80 nucleotides in length. Their secondary structure includes four short double-helical elements and three loops (D, anti-codon, and T loops). Further hydrogen bonds mediate the characteristic L-shaped molecular structure. tRNAs have two regions of fundamental functional importance: the anti-codon, which is responsible for specific mRNA codon recognition, and the 3' end, to which the tRNAs corresponding amino acid is attached (by aminoacyl-tRNA synthetases). tRNAs cope with the degeneracy of the genetic code in two manners: having more than one tRNA (with a specific anti-codon) for a particular amino acid; and 'wobble' base-pairing, i.e. permitting non-standard base-pairing at the 3rd anti-codon position.
Source: Rfam by way of RNAcentral